This 324-nucleotide ribosomal RNA is filed under the name uncultured eukaryote. RNAcentral describes it as "partial 18S ribosomal RNA". It matches the Rfam family "Eukaryotic small subunit ribosomal RNA", at positions 1470 to 1796 of the family's 1831-position model. The record is from RNAcentral.
CCCUUAGAUGUUCUGGGCCGCACGCGCGCUACACUGAUGCAUUCAACGAGUCUAUCCUUGACCGACAGGUCCGGGUAAUCUUUGAAUCUGCAUCGUGACGGGGAUAGAUUAUUGCAAUUAUUAAUCUUGAACGAGGAAUUCCUAGUAAACGCAAAUCAUCAAUUUGCAUUGAUUACGUCCCUGCCCUUUGUACACACCGCCCGUCGCACCUACCGAUUGAAUGGUCCGGUGAAGCCUCGGGAUUGUGGCCAGUUCACUUUAUUGGGAGUUGGCUGUGAGAACUUGUCUAAACCUUAUCAUUUAGAGGAAGGUGAAGUCGUAACA